CCUCGGGGGCCCUGGCGUGGGCGAGCCCUCUCUGUCACAGCGGAAGAGGCCUCGUGGAGGAGACUGGGAAGAGGAUGGCCCCUCACAGUUUGAAGAGGAGCUGGCUUUUCUAGAUGAGGUGGAGGCUGAGAUGGCUCUGGAGGCAAAGGAAGCGCAGGAGGCACCUGAUGACAUUCCUCUAGAUAAUCUCAUCUCAUCGGUGCGGAAUCCCAAGUGGCAGAGGCCACCGCUUCCCAAAAUAAACCCGAAGGAGGACGCUUUGUGUUUCCAGCAAGUGGACCUGGAUUAUUAUGUGGGUUCUCACAUGCCUGGCUUCCCAGGAUCCACC
Gekko japonicus is the source of this 328-nucleotide long non-coding RNA. RefSeq lists it as uncharacterized. The transcript has 3 exons. Lineage: Eukaryota; Metazoa; Chordata; Lepidosauria; Squamata; Gekkonidae. The record is from RefSeq and is a predicted model, not a curated record.